This 253-nucleotide ribosomal RNA is filed under the name uncultured bacterium. RNAcentral describes it as "partial 16S ribosomal RNA". It matches the Rfam family "Bacterial small subunit ribosomal RNA", at positions 524 to 776 of the family's 1533-position model. The record is from RNAcentral.
UACAGAGGUCCCAAGCGUUGUUCGGAUUCACUGGGCGUAAAGGGUGCGUAGGUGGUGAGGUAAGUCUUAUGUGAAAGCUCGGAGCUCAACUCCGAAAUGGCAUAGGAAACUACCUUGCUCGAGGAUUGGAGGGGGGACUGGAAUACUUGGUGUAGCAGUGAAAUGCGUAGAUAUCAAGUGGAACACCAGUGGCGAAGGCGAGUCCCUGGACAAUUCCUGACACUGAGGCACGAAAGCUAGGGGAGCAAACGGG